AGUUAAAUAUGGAGGAUGAGGGGAAGAUAUCAAGAAUAACGGCUAGGUUUUUAGAACAGGUUUUGUAGCUUGGGGGAGAAGAAACAAUUGUACAUAUUGGUCUGAGGGACCUGUGGAAGAUUCAGGUUAUGUCUAGUGGGUAGUUAGAUACAGCAGAGAAAUAGGAGCCAUCUGGCCCCAACACAGUAGAUUCGUGAACCACCAGGGUAUAAGCAAUAACUGAGGCCAAUAGAGUCCUUUAUAGCUUUGAAAUUUAAAAUUAUUUCCUCAUAGCUCAUUUUGUUCACAAUUUGUGAGAUUUUUAGGAAGAGGACUAUUAAGAGCCACCUCGUACAUCUCAUCCUGUAGUGAAGUUUUCCUGUACAGACUGUGAACCAAUGGUUAUUGAUAAACUUCCUUUUGACAAAUAUGAGUUGGAACCUUCACCACUGACUCAAUUUAUCCUGGAAAGGAAAUCUCCUCAAACAUGUUGGCAGGUGUACGUGAGCAAUAGUGCAAAAUACAGUGAACUUGGUCAUCCUUUUGGUUACUUGAAAGCCAGUACAGCACUGAACUGUGUCAACUUAUUUGUGAUGCCUUACAAUUAUCCAGUCCUUCUUCCCCUCUUAGAUGACUUGUUUAAAGUGCAUAAAGCAAAACCAACAUUGAAGUGGAGACAGUCAUUUGAAAGUUAUUUGAAGACAAUGCCUCCCUACUAUCUCGGG
RNAcentral lists this small RNA (704 nucleotides) under Pongo abelii (Sumatran orangutan). Its description in RNAcentral is "processed transcript". Lineage: Eukaryota; Metazoa; Chordata; Mammalia; Primates; Hominidae. The record is from RNAcentral.